RNAcentral lists this ribosomal RNA (391 nucleotides) under uncultured bacterium. RNAcentral's name for it is "bacterial SSU rRNA". It matches the Rfam family "Bacterial small subunit ribosomal RNA", at positions 775 to 1159 of the family's 1533-position model. The record is from RNAcentral.
AGAAAAUAGAUACCCGGGUAGUCCACGCCCUAAACGAUGCGAACUGGACGUUGGUUGCAACUUGGCAAAUCAGUGUCGAAAGCUAAACGCGUUAAGUUCGCCGCCUGGGGAGUACGGUCGCAAGACUGAAACUCAAAGGAAUUGACGGGGGCCCGCACAAGCGGUGGAGUAUGUGGUUUAAUUCGAUGCAACGCGCAGAACCUUACCUGGCCUUGACAUGUCGCGAACUUUCCAGAGAUGGAUUGGUGCCUUCGGGAACGCGAACACAGGUGCUGCAUGGCUGUCGUCAGCUCGUGUCGUGAGAUGUUGGGUUAAGUCCCGCAACGAGCGCAACCCUUGUCCUUAGUUGCCAGCACGUAAAGGUGGGAACUCUAAGGAGACUGCCGGUGAC